CCGAUGGGCCGAAGCAGCUUCCCAAGCUGAAUACGCGGGUUCGAUUCCCGUCAUCGGCUCCA
Molecule: transfer RNA, 62 nt
Filed under: Mycobacterium manitobense
Lineage: Bacteria; Bacillati; Actinomycetota; Actinomycetes; Mycobacteriales; Mycobacteriaceae
Description: [Mycobacterium] manitobense tRNA-Ser
Rfam family: tRNA
About the family: Transfer RNA (tRNA) molecules are approximately 80 nucleotides in length. Their secondary structure includes four short double-helical elements and three loops (D, anti-codon, and T loops).
Source: RNAcentral